UACGUAGGGUGCGAGCGUUAAUCGGAAUUACUGGGCGUAAAGCGUGCGCAGGCGGAUUGUUAAGCAAGAUGUGAAAUCCCCGGGCUUAACCUGGGAAUGGCAUUUUGAACUGGCAGUCUAGAGUGUGUCAGAGGGGGGUGGAAUUCCACGUGUAGCAGUGAAAUGCGUAGAGAUGUGGAGGAACACCAAUGGCGAAGGCAGCCCCCUGGGAUAACACUGACGCUCAUGUACGAAAGCGUGGGUAGCAAACAGG
Molecule: ribosomal RNA, 253 nt
Filed under: uncultured bacterium
Lineage: Bacteria
Description: partial 16S ribosomal RNA
Rfam family: Bacterial small subunit ribosomal RNA
Source: RNAcentral